CCUAAGAGGUGGUGUGCGCCCCGUCCCUGGGGUUUGACGUGCCUAGUUUAAAUCCUGCUGCUCAAGUACCUCUUACUCAUCCUAGCUACUCAAAAGGAUAGUCUGUGUCUGCGUACAAGCAUAGAGCAAGACCAGGAGAGCACAUUGCGCAGUGAUGCAGGGACCGGACUGUGCCCGCCACACUGCCCGCUUGCUCCUUCCUACACGAGGCUGCAGAUUCUUCAGUUCAUGCAUCACUCCUGGCUUAGCCAGACGUUCCCUCAGACAGCGGGCUGCAUAAUGCAGUGCUGUUUGGCUGCUGAGGCUCUGGGGCCUAGCUGUCAGCUGGCUUGUGCUAUAACGGGACAACAGCUAACUCAAAGAGGAUGCAGGAAAUAAAGGAAACGUAUGCAUUUUUAAGGAUAUGGAUGACGGGGGAGGAAUCACUGAUAUGCUUGUGAACUUUAGUGAUAUAUUUAGAAGCUUGGAACAAAACUGCUGUUUCACUGAAGUCAAUAAAAAUACUGCCAUUGAAUUCA
Molecule: long non-coding RNA, 518 nt
Filed under: Numida meleagris (helmeted guineafowl)
Lineage: Eukaryota; Metazoa; Chordata; Aves; Galliformes; Numididae
Description: lncRNA (ENSNMEG00000003460.1)
Source: RNAcentral